Molecule: long non-coding RNA, 576 nt
Filed under: Mytilus galloprovincialis (Mediterranean mussel)
Lineage: Eukaryota; Metazoa; Mollusca; Bivalvia; Mytilida; Mytilidae
Source: RNAcentral
GUAUGAUACUAAACCCCUAACGGGAAGGAUUGUGCCUGAUGUUCAUAUGAUGAAAUCAUAAUCUUUCAGUCAGUUUAAUUGAAGUCUGGAGCUGGCAUGUCAGUUAACUGCUAGUAGUCUGUUGUUGUUUGUGUAUUAUUGUCAUUUUGUUUAUUUUCUUUGGUUACAUCUUCUGACAUCAGACUCGGACUUCUCUUGAACUGAAUUUUAAUGUGCGUAUUGUUAUGCGUUUACUUUUCUACAUUGGCUAGAGGUAUAGGGGGAGGGUUGAGAUCUCACAAACAUGUUUAACCCCGCCUCAUUUUUGCGCCUGUCCCAAGUCAGGAGCCUCUGGCCUUUGUUAGUCUUGUAUUAUUUUAAUUUUAGUUUCUUGUGUACAAUUUGGAAAUUAGUAUGGCGUUCAUUAUCACUGAACUAGUAUAUAUUUGUUUAGGGGCCAGUUGAAGGACGCCUCUGGGUGCGGGAAUUUCUCGCUACAUUGAAGACCUGUUGGUGACCUUCUGCUGUUGUUUUUUUCUAUGGUCGGGUUGUUGUCUUUUUGGCACAUUCCCCAUUUCCAUUCUCAAUUUUAUAAUA